Molecule: long non-coding RNA, 105 nt
Organism: Maniola jurtina (meadow brown)
Lineage: Eukaryota; Metazoa; Arthropoda; Insecta; Lepidoptera; Nymphalidae
Exons: 3
Source: RefSeq, a predicted model, not a curated record
GCAAAUUAUUCGAGUACGGGCAUACGAUAAUUCGGCAUUCCGCCAAUCAACUGGCCACACUAUUCGGGAUACGGCGAAUGUUUUGUUAGGUGAAUUUGUAAUUUU